UCGGNNCUGCCCGGUGAAAUAUUUUAACGGCCGCGGUACUCUGACCGUGAAAGNUNGCAUAAUCAUUUGCCUUAUAAUUGAAGGCUAGUAUGAAUGGNUUGACAAGAACGUAGCUGUCUCUUUUCAAUUUAGUAGAAUUUUAUCUUAAGGUGAAAAAGCCUUGAUUCAAUUAAAAGACAAGAAGACCCUAUCGAGCUUUAAAGAAGUUGAUGGAUUUAGAUUUUUAGUUUUAAAAAGCGUUACCAUCAUAAUAUUUUGGUUGGGGCGACUGAGGAACAUGUGAAGCUUCCUUUAAAAGUGUUUAACGUGCGGGUGAUGAUCCACAGUUGGUGAUUAAAGGAAUUAGUUACCGUAGGGAUAACAGCAUUAUCCUUUUUGAGAGUUCUAAUCGAAAAAAGGGUUUGUGACCUCGAUGUUGGACCAGAAUAUCCUAAAGAUGCAGAAGUCUUUAAGGGUUGGUCUGUUCGACCAUUAAAAUUCUA
This 482-nucleotide ribosomal RNA is filed under the name Myurella affinis. RNAcentral's name for it is "partial 16S ribosomal RNA". It matches the Rfam family "Bacterial large subunit ribosomal RNA", at positions 1853 to 2598 of the family's 2925-position model. Lineage: Eukaryota; Metazoa; Mollusca; Gastropoda; Neogastropoda; Terebridae. The record is from RNAcentral.